Drosophila ficusphila is the source of this 192-nucleotide long non-coding RNA. RefSeq lists it as uncharacterized. NCBI's taxonomy places the organism in Eukaryota, Metazoa, Arthropoda, Insecta, Diptera, Drosophilidae. The transcript is spliced from 3 exons. The record is from RefSeq and is a predicted model, not a curated record.
GUUUAAAAAUCAUGAUUCAGCCAUACAUAUGUCCCAUAAAUUCGUUUGAAAGAUGGACGCAAAACAGCCGAUGGCCUGCAAGUACUCCACAGAAGUGGUAAACAAAAACUUUCGAAUUUCAUAUUAUUUAUGUACUUAUUUCUUAUAUUACAAAAUAAGAUAAAUUAAUAAAAUAAAAAAGAAUUAAAUAUA